RNAcentral lists this ribosomal RNA (481 nucleotides) under uncultured bacterium. RNAcentral's name for it is "bacterial SSU rRNA". It matches the Rfam family "Bacterial small subunit ribosomal RNA", at positions 30 to 507 of the family's 1533-position model. The record is from RNAcentral.
AUUGAACGCUGGCGGAAUGCUUUACACAUGCAAGUCGAACGGUAGAGGGGGCAACCCUCGAGAGUGGCGAACGGGUGAGUAAUAUAUCGGAACGUGCCCAGUCGUGGGGGAUAACGUAGCGAAAGUUACGCUAAUACCGCAUACGAUCUACGGAUGAAAGCGGGGGACUCGCAAGAGCCUCGCGCGAUUGGAGCGGCCGAUAUCAGAUUAGGUAGUUGGUGGGGUAAAGGCUCACCAAGCCAACGAUCUGUAGCUGGUCUGAGAGGACGACCAGCCACACUGGAACUGAGACACGGUCCAGACUCCUACGGGAGGCAGCAGUGGGGAAUUUUGGACAAUGGACGCAAGUCUGAUCCAGCCAUUCCGCGUGCAGGAUGAAGGCCCUCGGGUUGUAAACUGCUUUUGUACGGAACGAAAAGGUCUCUCUUAAUACGAGGGGCUCAUGACGGUACCGUAAGAAUAAGCACCGGCUAACUACGUG